Molecule: ribosomal RNA, 468 nt
Filed under: uncultured bacterium
Lineage: Bacteria
Description: partial 16S ribosomal RNA
Rfam family: Bacterial small subunit ribosomal RNA
Source: RNAcentral
GACGAACGCUGGCGGCGUGCUUAACACAUGCAAGUCGAACGGAAAGGCCCUGCCUUUGGGGGGUGCUCGAGUGGCGAACGGGUGAGUAACACGUGAGUUACCUGCCCUUGCCUUUGGGAUAACUUCAGGAAACUGGGGCUAAUACCGGAUAGGAGCUCCUGCUGCAUGGUGGGGGCUGGAAAGUUUCGGCGGUUGGGGAUGGACUCGCGGCUUAUGAGCUUGUUGCAGGGGUAGUGGCUUACCAUGGCUUUGAAAGGUAGCCGUCCUGAGAGGGUAACCUGCCACGUUGGGAUUGAGCUACGGCACGGACUACUACGGGACGCGAGGGAGCGGUAUAUUGCACAAUGGGCUGAAGCAAAAUGUAGCAACGCCGCGUGGGGGAUGACGUCAAUCGGGUAGUGUUCCACUGCCGUCUGUCACGAGGCGUGAAUGACAGUACCGGGUGAAUAAGCACCGGCUAACUACGUG